RNAcentral lists this long non-coding RNA (2908 nucleotides) under Mytilus galloprovincialis (Mediterranean mussel). The record is from RNAcentral. Lineage: Eukaryota; Metazoa; Mollusca; Bivalvia; Mytilida; Mytilidae.
UACAAACUAUAACCAAUAAUAUAUAUUUAUUAACAUAUAGAGGGAGAUCAUAAAGUAUGCACCAUUUUACCUGUGUUAGUUGUAAAUAUACCUAUCUAUUAUGCACAAUUAUAAAUGACAAUACCAUCAAGAAAUAUAUGUAGUCUAUUUUUAUAAAAGCUUUAAACAAUAAUUUGAUAUACAUAAUACAUGCAUGUAUUUUUAGUAGAAGUUCUAUACAAAGUAAACCCCUCAAAAAUAUAUUGGGGAUGUAUUGAACAUAUUUAUUAUUGAAACUGGAAAUGCAACCGUAGAUUUAAAUUCCUUCAUCUGUAGGUCUUGUCGAGAUUGCUUGUUCAUGGAACAUCCAAAUACAAAAUUAAUCUGCUGUUCAUUUAUUAUGUAGAAUUAAAACUCGUAAUAUUUGUUUAAAAUUAAUACUAAACUAUAAGAUAAUAUAUAUGCAACAUAAUUAUAUAUUAAACAAAUUUUUAACAUUUUCCUAUACUAUAUGUUUUAAUUUAUUCCCCUGUUAAUUCCAAAAUAUUAUUGAAAACAAAAGAACAGCUAAAUCACGUAACAACAACAGCACCAACAAACAUAGUUGGUAAAAGAUUAUCUGUAUUAAUAUAAGAAAAUAAUCAUUUCAUAUUUAGUUUGAUGUGACAAAUUUGUAACUAAAUUGUCAGUCUGGUAGAGCUUUAUUAUUUUUCUAUCAAACAGUUUAAAGAUUUUUUUAAACCAGACUUAGCUUAUUAUUUAUAUUAUAUACUUAAUGACUAAACAUUUAGCACUAAUUUAUAAACUUAAAUAUGUAUAUAUGUAAUGAACACAAUAUUGACAACUGUAAUAAGAAAACAAUUAAACAUGUUUUCAAAAAAAAAUAAUAAUUAUGCACCAAAAAUAAACACUACAAAAAAUAUAUAGACAAUACAAAAAUUAAAUUGUAAACAAUAUCAACAAAGGCUUAUACAUAGUGGACAGACACUCAAAACCGUAAAUAAUUAUUUGAUAUCUACAGAAAUAUUCAAAAGCAAACUUACCCUAAAAUAGAUCUUUACAUUAACUUAUUGGAUUUAGAAAAAUAAGUCUUAUGAAAAAUAUAAAUUUCAAAGUGCAUGUAUUUCAUUGAAAAUCCUUGAAGCUAGAAAAUUAUAAAAAAACAAGAAUGUGUCCACAGUACACGGAUGCCCCACUCGCACUAUCAUUUCCUAUGUUUAGUGGACCGUGAAAUUGGGAUAAAUUCUCUAAUUUGGCAUUGAAAUUAGAAUGAUCUUAUCAAAGGGAACAUGUAUACUAAGUUUCAAGUUGAUUGGACUUCUACUUUAUCAAAAACUACCUUGAGCAAAAACUUUAACCUGAAAUUUGCACUAUCAUUUUCUAUGUUCAGUGAACCGUAAAAUUGGGGUCAAAACUCUAAUUUGGCAUUUAAAUUAGAAAGAUCAUAUCAUAGGGCACAUGUAUACUAAGUUUCAAGUUGAUUAGACUUCAACUUCAUCAAAAAAUACCUUGACCAAAAACUUUAACCUGAAGUGGGACAGACGGAUGAACGGACGGACGGACGGACGAACGGAAGCACAGACCAGAAAACAUAAUGCCCCUCUACUAUCGUAGGUGGGGCAUAAAAAUCACUAAUCAUUUGAAUUUUAGGAAUUUGUGUGAAUAGAUAGGAAGGAAAAUUCUAUUUUUAGACAUUGUUCUUUAUAGUUAUAUUUUUUCAUUUGAUGUAUGCAAAGUUACUCAAUGGAAGUAUGUUAGUUGUUUCAGAUUUUGGUGGUACAUGUACCUUCCUACCCUCACAUAUCUAUUUUAAUAGAAAAUCUGUUAUAAAUCUAUAUAUAAUGAAUGAUAUGCUAAAUGUUUCCAGGUUCAGAGGAUAAGAAACAAUAAUCAAAGUAAUCAACCUUUAAAAAUAUUCAAUAAAUGCCCAAUGAAAAUGGCAGUACAAUUCUUUACUGUGACUAGAUUACAAAUUUCUCUAGAAAUUGAAAUGGGAGUAAAACAGGACAGCAACUAACAUUUUAAUGAAUUAUUACCUAUAAGUUUUGUAGACCUCUUUGAAUAUGAAGUAAGGUAAAUAGACCAAAAAAUUGGUGCAAUGUACCAUACACAUAAUAAUUCUGAACACUUUUCAUUAUUAAGGAUCUACAGACAAGCCUAUGAAUAACAGUGUAUAAAAAUAUGGAUUUAUCAAAACAUUAAUGUAACAUUAAUGUAAUACUUUUAAAUAUAUCUUUAAUGUAACACUUUCAAAGAUAGGUAUUCAUCUAUAUGUUAUAACUUGGUCUUACUUUUACAAGAUGACUUGCUCGAGUUAAGUAAUUUAAAACUGAUAUUUCUACUUAAAUUAUGUUCUAUUUGAAAAAAGACCCUUACUGAGAAUAAACCAAAAACGCUUUAAACACCUUGUUAUCAUAAAUAGAAUCGUAUUCUAUGCAUCCAUUAAUGUUUUUUUAAAUAUCUAUUUCACUCCCUAGUAGUAAAUAUAAUUCAGUGGUCCUAUUUGUCAACAAACAUUAUAUACUAUAAUAUGAUAACCUCCUUUUUACACAACCUUUUAACAGACCACACACAUUGUUUAUUUUUUAUAUAUACUGAGUACAAUAGAAACACAACAAUUCAUGUAAUUGACUAAUUCUAUAAAGUACAAAUUAAAAUACGAAAACAACUUAUCUAUAAUGAAGCUUAAGGGCAUACGAUACAGUUAUAGGGGAGGUAAUGACGUUGCUAACGUAAAAUGUUAUUUUCGCGACGUCAAACUGUGACAUAUCAGGAAAAGAUGCAUUUUUCGACUGAUUUUUAUCAUUCAAACUGAUUUAAUUUGAAAACGAGUGCAUGGACCCCAAUUUUUUAAACCGACAUUUUGUUUCAAUUUUCAGGGAGAUUAUGUGGAUCAAAUUUGAUAAAACUGUAAAUAGUGCAAUUUUUU